This 173-nucleotide non-coding RNA is filed under the name Alphaproteobacteria bacterium. RNAcentral's name for it is "6S RNA". It matches the Rfam family "6S / SsrS RNA". From Rfam's summary of the family: E. coli 6S RNA was the first non coding RNA to be sequenced, but its function was unknown until recently. It consists of 184 nucleotides that fold into an extended hairpin structure with a large single-stranded internal bulge. Lineage: Bacteria; Pseudomonadati; Pseudomonadota; Alphaproteobacteria. The record is from RNAcentral.
AAGGUGCUGCGGGGUGCGUGAUAGUUUCAUAUUCCAGCGGCCGAUAAUCUUUCGCUCGGGAGCUGUCCCUGUAAGUAUUGAAGUGUUUUGCCGCCUCAGCUUAUACAUGGCGCCCACCUGUUUCACAGGGCCACAUGCGAAUUGAUCAUCUACACGGCUACCGUGGCACUUUA